Molecule: ribosomal RNA, 253 nt
Filed under: uncultured bacterium
Lineage: Bacteria
Description: partial 16S ribosomal RNA
Rfam family: Bacterial small subunit ribosomal RNA
Source: RNAcentral
UACGGGGGGGGCAAGCGUUGUUCGGAAUUACUGGGCGUAAAGGGCUCGUAGGCGGCCAACUAAGUCAGACGUGAAAUCCCUCAGCUUAACUGGGGAACUGCGUCUGAUACUGGAUGGCUUGAGAUUGGGAGAGGGACGCGGAAUUCCAGGUGUAGCGGUGAAAUGCGUAGAUAUCUGGAGGAACACCGGUGGCGAAGGCGGCGUCCUGGACCAACACUGACACUGAGGAGCGAAAGCCAGGGGAGCAAACGGG